UACGGAGGGUGCGAGCGUUGUCCGGAAUCAUUGGGCGUAAAGGGCGCGUAGGUGGCCCGGUCAGUUCGUGGUGAAAGCGCGGGGCUCAACCCUGCGUCGGCCAUGAAUACUGCCGCGGCUGGAGCACUGUAGAGGCAGGCGGAAUUCCGGGUGUAGCGGUGGAAUGCGUAGAGAUCCGGAAGAACACCGGUGGCGAAGGCGGCCUGCUGGGCAGUUGCCGACACUGAGGCGCGACAGCGUGGGGAGCAAACAGG
Molecule: ribosomal RNA, 254 nt
Filed under: uncultured bacterium
Lineage: Bacteria
Description: partial 16S ribosomal RNA
Rfam family: Bacterial small subunit ribosomal RNA
Source: RNAcentral